RNAcentral lists this ribosomal RNA (254 nucleotides) under uncultured bacterium. RNAcentral describes it as "partial 16S ribosomal RNA". It matches the Rfam family "Bacterial small subunit ribosomal RNA", at positions 524 to 776 of the family's 1533-position model. The record is from RNAcentral.
UACAGAGGGUGCAAGCGUUGUUCGGAAUUAUUGGGCGUAAAGGGCGCGUAGGCGGUGCUGUAAGUCUGUAGUGAAAUCUCUGGGCUCAACUCAGAGUCUGCUAUAGAAACUGCAGUGCUGGAGUGUGGGAGAGGUGAGUGGAAUUCCCGGUGUAGCGGUGAAAUUCGUAGAUAUCGGGAGGAACACCGGUGGCGAAGGCGGCGAUCUGGGUCGAUACUGACGCUGAGGUGGCGAAAGCGUGGGGAGCAAACAGG